UUUGAAACACGGACCAAGGAGUCUAACAUGUGCGCAAGUCAUUGGGUAUUUAAAACCUAAAGGCGUAACAAAAGUAAAAAAAUCCUGUUGCUUUGUUAGGGAGGAUGGGUGUAUGUUAAGUAGUUUAAUUUAUUUAACUGCAUCCCGCACUCCCGGGGCGUCUGUUACUCAUUGCGAGUAAAGGCGCACCUAGAGCGUACACGUUGGGACCCGAAAGAUGGUGAACUAUGCUUGACCAGGAUGAAGCCAGGGGAAACCCUGGUGGAGGUCCGUAGCGAUUCUGACGUGCAAAUCGAUCGUCAGAGUUAAGUAUAGGGGCGAAAGACCUAUCGAACCAUCUAGUAGCUGGUUCCCUCCGAAGUUUCCCUCAGGAUAGCUGGUGUCAAUGAUGAGACGAGUCUCAUCCGGUAAAGCGAAUGAUUAGAGGCCUUGGGGCCGAAACGACCUCAACCUAUUCUCAAACUUUAAAUGGCUGAGAGCCUUGGCUUGCUUAAAAGUGAAGCCAGGGACUUGGAUCUAAGAUGCCAAGUGGGCCAAUUUUGGUAAGCAGAAACUGGCG
This 559-nucleotide ribosomal RNA is filed under the name Hypselosoma sp. Madagascar_1942. RNAcentral's name for it is "partial large subunit ribosomal RNA". It matches the Rfam family "Eukaryotic large subunit ribosomal RNA", at positions 653 to 1155 of the family's 3401-position model. Lineage: Eukaryota; Metazoa; Arthropoda; Insecta; Hemiptera; Schizopteridae. The record is from RNAcentral.